ACCUGUUUCCAUCCUUUUCCACUCUGUUUUACUGAACGUCAUCUGUGUUCCAUUAGGCUCUCGUAGAAUAAUGAUGAUGGACUUGUCUUGUUCUUUUGAAAUACGAUUCUGGGUAGAAGGACACCUGAAGAAGCUGUAGUUAGAAUGUCAAGAAAAAAAAAAUCAAGAAAAGGAACAGAUUCAGUGAAGAAACAUUCACCUGAGCUGCAAAUUGAUCUAAGACAAGAAGGAAAAGCUCAGGUUCCUAUCAAAUAUUAUUGAAUAAAUCAUGGAACAUCUGUUAAAUUUAGAUUUUGUUUACCAAAGAGUAUGUUUGAAAACAGCAAACCACAUCAUCUGAUGUGAAUUGUCUAAUACACCAAAUCUGUAUUUAAUCCUGUUGAAGCUCAGCUUCAGUUGACUUCUGUGAAGCAGCCUUUGGACAAUUUUUCUCAAUGUGAGGCGGAAAUUAGGGAUGUUCGAUAAUGUUGGCCAACAGAUAUUAGCAUAGGGUGUGAAAAAAUAUGUUGGACGUGUGCGUGUGAGGGUAUAGAAAGCUGCCAAAAAAAAACCCAUUUCUGUCCGUCUUCAAACAGAGCAGCUGCGUCGUAACUGUCAAAACAUGCAGAACGAGCUCCGUGUGCUGCACCUCCAACUUCCACCCAUCGCCUUGAGACAUCCCUCCCCUGCUGCUCCUCCUGCCCUUCCAGCUCCGCCAGCUUCUCCUAGUCCGACGACUCCGCCUUCUAACCUUAUAAUAUAAGGCGCUCAGGCACUUCGGCAGUCGCAUUCUCUUAUCCUAGAGCGAGUGGUGGAUGUUGUUCUCCUGCUCCUCCACAGUGGACUGUGUGAGACAGUGUCAUGCUGUCCGUGGAACCAUGCGGUGGUCUGUUCUUCUGUACCAGCUCCUGGCUCUAGGUCUGGAGACCUUCGCUCAGGAUGACGUCACCGCUGCUCCUAUCAUUCCCCAGGACUGCAGUCUGCACUGUAUCCGACAGGUAAGCACCAACACCGCUGUUUGUAUUUGUUUGUUAGUUUGUGUGUGUGUUGACAUCCCGGUUCAUCUUUCAUUUCUACCGUAUUCUGCUGACAAUAUUUAGCAAAUCGUUCACUAAGUUUACGCUUGUUUCUGGCUGUCAAUACUUGUAGUUUUGUGUCGAUGUUAAGCCUGGUUUAAACUGACAGACUUCUUCUACAGCCAACGCGCUAUUUAUUUAUCUAAUUGCUUGAUUCAUUUAUACGCUUUCCCUUUUAAAUGACUGUGUUAGGUUACACACUGGCAGGCCAUCUCUAGUACACAUUUGAUUUGAUCUUGAGGACAAAUUUAAUUACACUAUCAGUUACUUCCAUGAAUGAAUAAUUUCAAAUGGGAUUUUAGAUUUAAGUUUCAUCGUUUUGUUGUGGAUUUUAUUAGUUAUU
This is a long non-coding RNA of Cynoglossus semilaevis (tongue sole), 1398 nucleotides long. RefSeq lists it as uncharacterized. NCBI's taxonomy places the organism in Eukaryota, Metazoa, Chordata, Actinopteri, Pleuronectiformes, Cynoglossidae. The record is from RefSeq and is a predicted model, not a curated record. The transcript has 3 exons.